GGAUUAGAUACCCUGGUAGUCCACGCCGUAAACGAUGUCUACUUGCUGUGUGUGCUUUUAAAGCGUGCGUAGCGAAGCUAACGCGAUAAGUAGACCGCCUGGGGAGUACGGCCGCAAGGCUAAAACUCAAAUGAAUUGACGGGGGCCCGCACAAGCGGUGGAGCAUGUGGUUUAAUUCGAUGCAACGCGAAGAACCUUACCAUCCCUUGACAUCCACAGGAGAUUGUAGAGAUACGAUUGUGCCUUCGGGAACUGUGAGACAGGUGCUGCAUGGCUGUCGUCAGCUCGUGCCG
RNAcentral lists this ribosomal RNA (293 nucleotides) under uncultured bacterium. RNAcentral describes it as "partial 16S ribosomal RNA". It matches the Rfam family "Bacterial small subunit ribosomal RNA", at positions 775 to 1067 of the family's 1533-position model. The record is from RNAcentral.